GGUAUCGUGCCCGAGUGGUUAAGGGGCCGCACUCAAGUUGCGGUGGAGCGAUCCGCGCGUGUUCAAAUCACGUCGAUACCA
The sequence is a transfer RNA, 81 nucleotides long. It matches the Rfam family "tRNA". From Rfam's summary of the family: Transfer RNA (tRNA) molecules are approximately 80 nucleotides in length. Their secondary structure includes four short double-helical elements and three loops (D, anti-codon, and T loops). The record is from Rfam.